This 450-nucleotide ribosomal RNA is filed under the name uncultured bacterium. RNAcentral's name for it is "partial 16S ribosomal RNA". It matches the Rfam family "Bacterial small subunit ribosomal RNA", at positions 354 to 796 of the family's 1533-position model. The record is from RNAcentral.
GUGGGGAAUUUUGGACAAUGGGCGCAAGCCUGAUCCAGCCAUGCCGCGUGCAGGAUGAAGGCCUUCGGGUUGUAAACUGCUUUUGUACGGAACGAAACGGCUCUUUCUAAUAAAGAGGGCUAAUGACGGUACCGUAAGAAUAAGCACCGGCUAACUACGUGCCAGCAGCCGCGGUAAUACGUAGGGUGCGAGCGUUAAUCGGAAUUACUGGGCGUAAAGCGUGCGCAGGCGGUGAUGUAAGACAGAUGUGAAAUCCCCGGGCUCAACCUGGGAACUGCAUUUGUGACUGCAUCGCUGGAGUGCGGCAGAGGGGGAUGGAAUUCCGCGUGUAGCAGUGAAAUGCGUAGAUAUGCGGAGGAACACCGAUGGCGAAGGCAAUCCCCUGGGCCUGCACUGACGCUCAUGCACGAAAGCGUGGGGAGCAAACAGGAUUAGAAACCCCUGUAGUCC